GAUGAACGCUGGCGGCGUGCCUAAUACAUGCAAGUCGAGCGAACGGACGAGAAGCUUGCUUCUCUGAUGUUAGCGGCGGACGGGUGAGUAACGCGUGGAUAACCUACCUAUAAGACUGGGAUAACUUCGGGAAACCGGAGCUAAUACCGGAUAAUAUUUUGAACCGCAUGGUUCAAAAGUGAAAGACGGUCUUGCUGUCACUUAUAGAUGGAUCCGCGCUGCAUUAGCUAGUUGGUAAGGUAACGGCUUACCAAGGCAACGAUGCAUAGCCGACCUGAGAGGGUGAUCGGCCACACUGGAACUGAGACACGGUCCAGACUCCUACGGGAGGCAGCAGUAGGGAAUCUUCCGCAAUGGGCGAAAGCCUGACGGAGCAACGCCGCGUGAGUGAUGAAGGUCUUCGGAUCGUAAAACUCUGUUAUUAGGGAAGAACAUAUGUGUAAGUAACUGUGCACAUCUUGACGGUACCUAAUCAGAAAGCCACGGCUAACUACGUGCCAGCAGCCGCGGUAAUACGUAGGUGGCAAGCGUUAUCCGGAAUUAUUGGGCGUAAAGCGCGCGUAGGCGGUUUUUUAAGUCUGAUGUGAAAGCCCACCGGCUCAACCGUGGAGGGUCAUUGGAAACUGGAAAACUUGAGUGCAGAAGAGGAAAGUGGAAUUCCAUGUGUAGCGGUGAAAUGCGCAGAGAUAUGGAGGAACACCAGUGGCGAAGGCGACUUUCUGGUCUGUAACUGACGCUGAUGUGCGAAAGCGUGGGGAUCAAACAGGAUUAGAUACCCUGGUAGUCCACGCCGUAAACGAUGAGUGCUAAGUGUUAGGGGGGUUUCCGCCCCUUAGUGCUGCAGCUAACGCAUUAAGCACUCCGCCUGGGGAGUACGACCGCAAGGUUGAAACUCAAAGGAAUUGACGGGGACCCGCACAAGCGGUGGAGCAUGUGGUUUAAUUCGAAGCAACGCGAAGAACCUUACCAAAUCUUGACAUCCUUUGACAACUCUAGAGAUAGAGCCUUCCCCUUCGGGGGACAAAGUGACAGGUGGUGCAUGGUUGUCGUCAGCUCGUGUCGUGAGAUGUUGGGUUAAGUCCCGCAACGAGCGCAACCCUUAAGCUUAGUUGCCAUCAUUAAGUUGGGCACUCUAAGUUGACUGCCGGUGACAAACCGGAGGAAGGUGGGGAUGACGUCAAAUCAUCAUGCCCCUUAUGAUUUGGGCUACACACGUGCUACAAUGGACAAUACAAAGGGCAGCGAAACCGCGAGGUCAAGCAAAUCCCAUAAAGUUGUUCUCAGUUCGGAUUGUAGUCUGCAACUCGACUACAUGAAGCUGGAAUCGCUAGUAAUCGUAGAUCAGCAUGCUACGGUGAAUACGUUCCCGGGUCU
Molecule: ribosomal RNA, 1374 nt
Filed under: uncultured bacterium
Lineage: Bacteria
Description: bacterial SSU rRNA
Rfam family: Bacterial small subunit ribosomal RNA
Source: RNAcentral